Molecule: non-coding RNA, 21 nt
Filed under: Arabidopsis thaliana (thale cress)
Lineage: Eukaryota; Viridiplantae; Streptophyta; Magnoliopsida; Brassicales; Brassicaceae
Source: RNAcentral
UGAGCAUAUGAAAGAGUGUCU